ACUUGAAGGUUUGAUUCGUUGGU
This 23-nucleotide non-coding RNA is filed under the name Arabidopsis thaliana (thale cress). Lineage: Eukaryota; Viridiplantae; Streptophyta; Magnoliopsida; Brassicales; Brassicaceae. The record is from RNAcentral.